AGUGCUGUGAUAAGCUGACAAACAUUUAUAGGCAAAAAUCAGUUUCAAUAUUUCUCUUUAAUUAAUAUUGCACUUUUUCUUGCCUCUAAAUUUGAUUGCCUCGUCUAAAAAUAGCAC
Molecule: microRNA precursor, 117 nt
Filed under: Drosophila pseudoobscura
Lineage: Eukaryota; Metazoa; Arthropoda; Insecta; Diptera; Drosophilidae
Description: microRNA dps-mir-2507b precursor
Rfam family: mir-310 microRNA precursor family (bases 22-93)
Source: miRBase by way of RNAcentral